UAAGGAAUAUUGCUCAAUGGGAGAAAUCCUGAAGCAGCAACGCCGCGUGGAGGAUGAAGGGUCUAUGACUUGUAAACUCCUGUAAAGAAGGAAAAAAUUCCCAUUUGAUGGGAGAUGAUGGUACUUCUGGAGUAAGCCCCGGCUAACUACGUGCCAGCAGCCGCGGUAAUACGUAGGGGGCAAGCGUUGUCCGGUUUUACUGGGUGUAAAGGGUGCUCAGGCGGAUUUGUAAGUCAGAGGUGAAAUCUUACAGCUUAACUGUGAAACUGCCUUUGAUACUGCAAGCCUAGAGUAUGGAAGAGAGUGAUGGAAUAUCUGGUGUAGCAGUGAAAUGCGUAGAUAUCAGAUAGAACACCAAUGGCGAAGGCAGUCACUUGGUCCAUUACUGACGCUAAAGCACGAAAGCGUGGGUAGCAAACA
This 420-nucleotide ribosomal RNA is filed under the name uncultured bacterium. RNAcentral's name for it is "bacterial SSU rRNA". It matches the Rfam family "Bacterial small subunit ribosomal RNA", at positions 355 to 774 of the family's 1533-position model. The record is from RNAcentral.